Molecule: ribosomal RNA, 496 nt
Filed under: uncultured bacterium
Lineage: Bacteria
Description: partial 16S ribosomal RNA
Rfam family: Bacterial small subunit ribosomal RNA
Source: RNAcentral
AUGCACGCUGGCGGCGUGCCUAAUACAUGCCAGUCGAGCGAACAGACGAGGAGCUUGCUCCUUUGACGUUAGCGGCGGACGGGUGAGUAACACGUAGGUAACCUACCUAUAAGACUGGGAUAACUUCGGGAAACCGGAGCUAAUACCGGAUAAUAUUUCGAACCGCAUGGUUCGAUAGUGAAAGAUGGCUUUGCUAUCACUUAUAGAUGGACCUGCGCCGUAUUAGCUAGUUGGUAAGGUAACGGCUUAUCAAGGCAACGAUACGUAGCCGACCUGAGAGGGUGAUCGGCCACACUGGAACUGAGACACGGUCCAGACUCCUACGGGAGGCAGCAGUAGGGAAUCUUCCGCAAUGGGCGAAAGCCUGACGGAGCAACGCCGCGUGAGUGAUGAAGGUCUUCGGAUCGUAAAACUCUGUUAUUAGGGAAGAACAAACGUGUAAGUAACUGUGCACGUCUUGACGGUACCUAAUCAGAAAGCCACGGCUAACUACGUG